Molecule: long non-coding RNA, 1127 nt
Organism: Clupea harengus (Atlantic herring)
Lineage: Eukaryota; Metazoa; Chordata; Actinopteri; Clupeiformes; Clupeidae
Source: Ensembl
GGUGCUAUGAAUACUUUACUUUAGUUGUGACUCAGGAGGCAGAAACAGAGGGUUUCAAGGUUGUGGCUCCGUACAUGAUGGCAUAUGCCAUUACUAAAUACAAAUGUAACUACAGACCACCACAAAGUGACCAAAGUCAUACCCUUGUCACAUAUUCAGUGAUCUGGUCACUGUGGUAGCAUGCCUGUGCCAGAUUUAACCAUAAUACUGAACACAUAUUUCUAGCAGGUUCAUUUGAUAAUCUCUGACAUAAGGGUGAAGAGAGCAUAUCUGAAAAUUAGUCAGAAUUUGCUCUUUUAAAGUAGCAGAUUCUAAGAUUUCAGUGAAAUUCCUGCACAUUCAGAUAAAUCUGGGUCUGCAAAAAUGACAUUUUAAUAUAAACAUAAACAAAUAGAGAUUUUUACCCCCGUUCCGUGGCAUUCAAUGAAGUAUCUGGCAGUGUAGGAGCAGGUGUCAACGGUGACUGAAGUAUUGGUCAACUCUUUUACAGAAGGCUUUCUUUUGAUUUCAUCUUUGUCUACGAUAGCCACCGUCUCAUUCUAGAAAAAGUGUGUGAGACAGAAUUGUUGAUGGCAAGGAGUGCUCUAUGGCAUCGGUUCCCAAACUGGGGUACGCGUACCCCCAGGGGUACGCGAAGUGGUUCAGGGGGUACGCGGGGAGAACAUUUCCGCGAUAACAGAAAACGGACGGAAUUCGCAGAAUGUAGGCCUACCGUUUGAAACAGAAUUGCAACUUUCAAACGGAAACAUCAUUUUGUGCAUAAAAAUCGCCCAAAUUCCCCUGUAUUUUGUCCUGCAAGGCUGUAUUUCUUUCUUAUAAACACAACAACGAUCGCAACGAUGAACAAGCAUUAAUUAGAAAACAAAACCACUGAGAAAAUGUCACGUCUGUGCUGAACUCCGCUCCGGCCACGCCCCCCUAUUCAACACAGACCUCCUUAGCCUGUCAAAUGGAUUCGCUCAUCUUCCCAAUCGCCUGCAAAUCAUUUUAGUCUUCUGUUCUGUUGAUGGCUGGCAAACAACAACCUUAGAAGGUUUGGGUCACUUGUGGCACAUAUUAUUCACUCAUUUUUUUUUCAAGGGGGGGGGGGUACGCAGCUGGAGAAUAAAUGUCUGAAGGGGUACGGG